This 251-nucleotide ribosomal RNA is filed under the name uncultured prokaryote. Its description in RNAcentral is "partial 16S rRNA". It matches the Rfam family "Bacterial small subunit ribosomal RNA", at positions 525 to 775 of the family's 1533-position model. The record is from RNAcentral.
ACGGAGGAUGCAAGCGUUAUCCGGAUUCAUUGGGUUUAAAGGGUGCGCAGGCGGAAUGAUAAGUCAGUGGUGAAAUCCUACGGCUCAACUGUAGAACUGCCAUUGAUACUGUCGUUCUUGAGUACACUUGAAGUGGGCGGAAUGUGUCAUGUAGCGGUGAAAUGCUUAGAUAUGAGGCGGAACACCAGUGGCGAAGGCAGCUCACUAAAUUGUAACUGACGCUCAUGCACGAAAGCGUGGGGAGCAAACAG